GUUUGCAGCCAUACCACCCAGAACGCACCUGAUUUCAUUGAUCUCAGAAGCUGAGUAGGGUCCAGCCUGGUUAGUAUGGAUGAGAGAUCAAUAGAUACAGACCAAAAGUCCCUACCU
Molecule: ribosomal RNA, 117 nt
Organism: Bos mutus (wild yak)
Lineage: Eukaryota; Metazoa; Chordata; Mammalia; Artiodactyla; Bovidae
Source: Ensembl